RNAcentral lists this small RNA (66 nucleotides) under Chryseobacterium gambrini. RNAcentral describes it as "Flavo-1 RNA". It matches the Rfam family "Flavo-1 RNA". Lineage: Bacteria; Pseudomonadati; Bacteroidota; Flavobacteriia; Flavobacteriales; Weeksellaceae. The record is from RNAcentral.
UUUAGCCCCGAUUGUAAUGAAAAUCCUUUUUUGCAAAAAAAGAUUGCAAUGGAAAGCGGGAAAUAG